UAUUCCAAUUUCAUGAUCUAAGUCGCAAGUUUAGCAAUAUAUCUCGGGUUGGCGUGACUCUAAUCACCAUGGUUACAAGUUUGUCAUGUUAAUUUAUGGUGAUCAAAACUAAUUUUUUUAUGCCUUUUGAUAUUUUGAUAUUUGAACAUGUUUUUUUCUAAAAAAGAUUAUCUAACCCCGUGGUGAAAUGUAGGUGUCGAGGCCAGUAAUAUCUAAAAUCCAAUGAACAUUUAUUUAAUAUUGAUAUAGGAGUCACAAACUUGAAAAUACUUUGUUAUUUAAAAUCAAAUUGAGUUUCUC
Molecule: long non-coding RNA, 300 nt
Filed under: Populus trichocarpa (black cottonwood)
Lineage: Eukaryota; Viridiplantae; Streptophyta; Magnoliopsida; Malpighiales; Salicaceae
Description: long non-coding RNA (PTRI_LNC000288)
Source: RNAcentral